UGUGUAGGCGGUUCUCCAAGUUUGGUGUGAAAUCUCCCGGCUCAACCGGGAGGGUGCGCCGAAAACUGGAGGGCUGGAGUGCGGGAGGGGAGAGUGGAAUUCCUGGUGUAGCGGUAGAAAUGCGUAGAUAUCAGGAGGAACACCGGUGGUGUAGACGGCUCUCUGGACCGUAACUGACGCUGAGACACGAAAGCGUGGGUAGCAAACAGGAUUAGAUACCCUGGUAGUCCACGCCCUAAACGAUGCAUAUUUGGUGUGGGUCAUUCAGUUGAUCCGUGCCGGAGCUAACGCGUUAAAUAUGCCGCCUGGGGAGUACAGUCGCAAGGCUGAA
Molecule: ribosomal RNA, 331 nt
Filed under: uncultured bacterium
Lineage: Bacteria
Description: bacterial SSU rRNA
Rfam family: Bacterial small subunit ribosomal RNA
Source: RNAcentral